AUUGAACGCUGGCGGCAGGCCUAACACAUGCAAGUCGAACGAGUGGCGGACGGGUGAGUAAUGUCUGGGAAACUGCCCGAUGGAGGGGGAUAACUACUUGAAACGGUAGCUAAUACCGCAUACCAUCGGAUGUGCCGAGAUGGGAUUAGCUAGUAGGUUGGGUAACGGCUCACCUUGGCGACGAGCCCUAGCUGGGCUGAGAGGAUGACCAGCCACACGGGAACUGAGACACGGUCCAGAGGCCUACGGGAGGAAGCAGUGGGGAAGAGUGGACAAUGGGCGAAAGCCUGAUGCAGCCAUGCCGCGUGUAUGAAGAAGGCCUUCGGGUUGUAAAGUACUUUCAGCGAGGAGGCGGUACUCGCAGAAGAAGCACCGGCUAACUCCGUGCCAGCAGCCGCGGUAAUUC
This 406-nucleotide ribosomal RNA is filed under the name uncultured bacterium. Its description in RNAcentral is "partial 16S ribosomal RNA". It matches the Rfam family "Bacterial small subunit ribosomal RNA", at positions 29 to 526 of the family's 1533-position model. The record is from RNAcentral.